Molecule: ribosomal RNA, 500 nt
Filed under: uncultured bacterium
Lineage: Bacteria
Description: partial 16S ribosomal RNA
Rfam family: Bacterial small subunit ribosomal RNA
Source: RNAcentral
AUUGAACGCUGGCGGAAUGCUUUACACAUGCAAGUCGAACGGCAGCACGGACUUCGGUCUGGUGGCGAGUGGCGAACGGGUGAGUAAUGUAUCGGAACGUGCCCAGUCGUGGGGGAUAACGUAGUGAAAAUUACGCUAAUACCGCAUACGAUCUAUGGAUGAAAGCGGGGGAUCGCAAGACCUCGCGCGAUUGGAGCGGCCGAUAUAAGAUUAGGUAGUUGGUGGGGUAAAGGCCCACCAAGCCAACGAUCUGUAGCUGGUCUGAGAGGACGAACAGCCACACUGGAACUGAGACACGGUCCAGACUCCUACGGGAGGCAGCAGUGGGGAAUUUUGGACAAUGGGCGAAAGCCUGAUCCAGCCAUUCCGCGUGCAGGAUGAAGGCCCUCGGGUUGUAAACUGCUUUUGUACAGAACGAAAAGGUUUCUACUAAUACUAGGAGCUCAUGACGGUACUGUAAGAAUAAGCACCGGCUAACUACGUGCCAGCAGCCGCUGUAA